Molecule: ribosomal RNA, 738 nt
Filed under: uncultured bacterium
Lineage: Bacteria
Description: bacterial SSU rRNA
Rfam family: Bacterial small subunit ribosomal RNA
Source: RNAcentral
AGAGUUUGAUCCUGGCUCAGAGCGAACNNGCGGCAGGCUUAACACAUGCAAGUCGAACGGAUGGCUUCGGCCAUCAGUGGCAGACGGGUGAGUAACGCGUGGGAACAUGCCCUUCGGUUCGGAAUAACCAAUGGAAACGUUGGCUAAUACCGGAUACGCCCUUUUGGGGAAAGGUUUACUGCCGAGGGAUUGGCCCGCGUCCGAUUAGCUUGUUGGUGAGGUAAUGGCUCACCAAGGCGACGAUCGGUAGCUGGUCUGAGAGGAUGAUCAGCCACACUGGGACUGAGACACGGCCCAGACUCCUACGGGAGGCAGCAGUGGGGAAUAUUGGACAAUGGGGGCAACCCUGAUCCAGCCAUGCCGCGUGAGUGAUGAAGGCCUUAGGGUUGUAAAGCUCUUUCGCACGCGACGAUAAUGACGGUAGCGUGAGAAGAAGCCCCGGCUAACUUCGUGCCAGCAGCCGCGGUAAUACGAAGGGGGCUACGUUGCUCGGAAUCACUGGGCGUAAAGCGCGGUAGGCGGAUCUUUAAGUCAGGGGUGAAAUCCCGGGGCUCAACCCCGGAACUGCCUUUGAUACUGGGGAUCUUGAGUUCGAGAGAGGUUGGUGGAACUGCGAGUGUAGAGGUGAAAUUCGUAGAUAUUCGCAAGAACACCAGUGGCGAAGGCGCCAACUGGCUCGACACUGCGCUGAGGCGCGAAAGCGUGGGGAGCAAACAGGAUUAGAUACCCUAGUAGUCC